UGGGGAAUAUUGCGCAAUGGGGGCAACCCUGACGCAGCAACGCCGCGUGAUUGAAGAAGGCCUUCGGGUUGUAAAGAUCUUUAAUUGGGGACGAAAGAAAUGACGGUACCCAAAGAAUAAGCUCCGGCUAACUACGUGCCAGCAGCCGCGGUAAUACGUAGGGAGCAAGCGUUAUCCGGAUUUACUGGGUGUAAAGGGCGAGUAGGCGGGCUGGCAAGUUGGGAGUGAAAUCCCGGGGCUUAACCCCGGAACUGCUUUCAAAACUGCUGGUCUUGAGUGAUGGAGAGGCAGGCGGAAUUCCGUGUGUAGCGGUGAAAUGCGUAGAUAUACGGAGGAACACCAGUGGCGAAGGCGGCCUGCUGGACAUUAACUGACGCUGAGGAGCGAAAGCGUGGGGAGCAAACAGG
Molecule: ribosomal RNA, 407 nt
Filed under: uncultured bacterium
Lineage: Bacteria
Description: bacterial SSU rRNA
Rfam family: Bacterial small subunit ribosomal RNA
Source: RNAcentral